Molecule: ribosomal RNA, 495 nt
Filed under: uncultured bacterium
Lineage: Bacteria
Description: partial 16S ribosomal RNA
Rfam family: Bacterial small subunit ribosomal RNA
Source: RNAcentral
GAUGAACGCUGGCGGCGUGCCUAAUACAUGCAAGUCGAGCGAACAGACGAGGAGCUUGCUCCUCUGACGUUAGCGGCGGACGGGUGAGUAACACGUGGAUAACCUACCUAUAAGACUGGGAUAACUUCGGGAAACCGGAGCUAAUACCGGAUAAUAUAUUGAACCGCAUGGUUCAAUAGUGAAAGACGGUUUUGCUGUCACUUAUAGAUGGAUCCGCGCCGCAUUAGCUAGUUGGUAAGGUAACGGCUUACCAAGGCAACGAUGCGUAGCCGACCUGAGGGGGUGAUCGGCCACUGGAACUGAGACACGGUCCAGACUCCUACGGGAGGCAGCAGUAGGGAAUCUUCCGCAAUGGGCGAAAGCCUGACGGAGCAACGCCGCGUGAGUGAUGAAGGUCUUCGGAUCGUAAAACUCUGUUAUUAGGGAAGAACAAAUGUGUAAGUAACUAUGCACGUCUUGACGGUACCUAAUCAGAAAGCCACGGCUAACUACGUG